CGUCACAAGAAAGGAAAAGAUGGCAGCCUCGGCGGCGACGCUGCAUAGAUCUGCAGGCAUGAGGCUGACGGAAGGAUUGUUAUCAGUUUUACGGACGGAUACAAUUGGAAGAAUAUGUUCCCGUUCUUUUGUCCAGCUACCGAGAGCAUGGGGAUAUAGCUACACAGAGUGCAGCAGUGAUGGCAGGGCUUGUCUCUCUGAGCAACAUACGGCUUGGCUCAGUCAAGACCCGAUUUGAAGGCUUGUGUAUCAUGGCAGUGAUGGUCAAAGAUAGCUCAACUGAGCUCUUCCAACAACACUGCUUAACCUGGCUUCGAUCCAUCCAGCAGAUAAUUCAGUCCCAGGACCCUUUGCAGACAAUGGAGCUGGCUGUGCAUGUGCUUCAUGACCUACUCCAGUAUUCAUCUCAGUUGCCAGAGCUGGCUAGAAACAUAGGCCUUAACUCAAUUCCAGGAAUUCUGACAUCACUGCUUUCUGUAAAACCAGAGUGCCAUAUUGCUGCUAUGGAAGGAAUGCAUGCUUGUAUGACCUUCUACCCAAGAGCCUGUGGAUCUUUGCGGGGAAAGCUGGGAGCCUAUUUCUUGUCAAAGAUGGAUUCAGAGAACACUCGGAUGCAGGAGUUGGCAUGUUCCUGCUAUUCCAUUCUACCGACACUAGGUUCUGGGUUCUCGCAAGGAAUCAAGACUUCAGAGGCUUGGGCUCAGCAACUACAGUGUAUUCUGGCCACUGCACAUAGCCUUUUAGGACAACUUUAUGAAGGCGCAGAAACAGAUCCAGUAAUAUACAUGGGUCCUGGUGUGGAGCUAAACUUCAGUCCUUUGGAUGAGAGAGAUCCACUUUUUAUUCUGAGGCUAAGUCAGAGAUAUGCUGGACUUUGCCAAAGCCUUUCUAAAUUGCUCAGCAUUGAUGUCACAGUUCCUGUCAAACUUCCUGUGCAGGACAUCAUUAACCUGGUUUGCAGAGCAUUGGCUGUGACUCGUAAGAAAUUGAAUUGGCUGGGAGAUGGACCUCUGAAAAUGCUAGUGUUACCAACAAUCCACUUUCGCACACUAGAUGUCCUUAUAGCACUCAUUGAAACUGGAGGAUCUCGACUAAUCCGGUAUUCUACGGUGCUCUGUCAUCUUUUUGCUCAAACUCUGAAUGCAUGGAGUUUUACCAAUGAUACCAUCCUUCCUGGACAGCAAAGAGCAUACAGUACUGUGAGAGUGCAGGUUUAUAAGACUGUGCAAAUAUGGGUCAGUGUGGCAGGGUCAUCUUCUGGAGUACUGCAAGGCUCUGCUAAUUCUUCUGAGGUACUUUUGGGACACAUACUGAGUGACAUUACCCCAGGGACGGACACAAUCAAGCUGAGGACCGAAAAGGCUAUGCCAGAGCUCAGUAACAAUAUUGGGAAAGUUGGAGGAAAAAGAACCAAAGGAUUGGAUGUCCAUGAAGCAACCUCCCAUAUGCAGGGAUACAGGAAGCAAGAGAGCAAUGCUAAUUCCGACUGCUGCAAGGCAGCACUAAAGUCCCUCAACCUCAUCAUUAUUAACAGUGGUACUCUGCUAAAAGAGGAGACUCAUAAGAAGCUGCAAGAGCUUGUGGUACCACUAUUAGUUGGUUUUCAGCAGCAUGGUAGUUUGGCAGCCAAUGGUACUCAAACAAGUCCAUACUUCAGUCCUGAGAACCGCAAGGAGCUUUACCAUGUCCUACUUGCACUACUUUUGGUUCCCAGUCCGAGGUGGCCUCCACCACUUCAGUGUGCAGUGAGAGCUUUCAGCCUAGGUCUGGGUGACAUCAACAUUAUGGUUGCAUCUUUCUGCCGUGAAGCACUGGCCAUUUGCAAUGUUCUCAUUCACCCGCGCACCCCAUCAAUUGCCCAUUCUUUCUCUUUAACUGCUGCAGCUAGUACACAGCAGACAAUGGGAAAACCUGGCAUGGCAGAACUACUGCCUCAUCCACAAGGGCCAACUGCUUUUCGAGCUGGAGUGACUCCUCCCUUCAUCCCUCCAAAUCCUUCCAGUUGUCCUCAACCAUCUGGACCUCUUAGCUUGCCUUCUUUGCUUUCCAGUAGCAACUCCUUUCAAGCCAGACAUCCUAUGAACUUGCCAAACUCUGCAACAGCUACUCUCCCCUGUUCUUCUUUACUUGGGUCCUUGGAGAAUCACUUGGCCACAGAUUCUGCAGCACAACUGAGCACUACUAGUGACAAUCUGGUAGGUACAGGGCUAAUGGAUGUGCUCUCCCCACAUCAUGCAGGCUUAGAAGAGAGCUUUUCAGGUGCUGCAGAUGGGCAUAAACCUGUUUUUGUACGUUAUGAUAAGGAAGAGGCAGAAGAUGUGGAGAUUUCCUUGGAAAGUGACUCUGAUGACAGUGUAGUAAUUGUUCCCGAAGGGCUAUUAAUCAAACAGCCAGCACCACAAAGCAUAGCUGCUCAAAAUCAAGAAGGCAGGUUGCUAGAACAAGACAAUGUUGAAGGCGUGGGAUCUGCUGGAGGCACAAGCCCUAAGGGUCAAGCCAACAACAUCACAGGGGCUGUUCCUGGGAUUGGGAUGCCUUCAGCAACAGAUACAGUCUUAUCAACCACAUCAGCCUCAAGUUCUGUUGUGGCAAGUGCCCUUGCCAAUAGUUUUACUUCAAGCAUUACUCCUCUGCAAACUGUGCCUCCCACUGCAGUGGUAGAACCUCAGCAGGCACAGUACAGCUCCCAACAGAUGCUGCAGCAGCAGUCUGAGGAAGAUUCUGCGGUAAUUAACAUUAAUAGCUCAGAUGAUGAUGAGGAAGAGGAAGAAGAGGAAGAAGAAGAAGAUGAUGAAGAAUAUCCAGAAGAAGAGGGAUUCUAUGAAGACGAUGAGGAGGAGGAAGACUAUGAAGAGUAUGAAGAUGAAGAAUGUCUAGAAGAUCUGGAGGAGGAGUCAGAGGAGGAAGAAGAGGAUGGAGAGAUGAUAGAUGAUGAUGAGGAAGAUUUGGAGGAUGAAGAAGAUCUUGAUCAUUCUGAAGUUAUGAGGACUGGACAUGGCACAUCUUUUAAACUGGAACACGUAGAGGAAGAAAUGACGGGACUGAAAGCAAGACCAUGUGGACGCCAGGAAAUGCAGGAAGACUUGUAUAGUGACCCAGUUGAUUUAGAAGAAGAGGGACCAGUGGAAAUAGAUGAAGGGGACCACAGCCUAGUAGAGAUUCGGGAUGGGGAGCAAGAAGAAGUCAUGUCCAGUGAGCCUGCAAUACACACUGUGCAAAGUGAUGAGCAAGAGCCAAUGAAAUCUAGUGUAGAUGAUCUGGUAGAAAAGCCACUAAUCACUCUUCCAGUAGUAAGCCAGGAAGAAGAAAGUGUUCUGUCUCAGGAGGACACCUCAGAACAAGAGAAGGAAGAAGGAAAGUCUGAGAUUAUGCAAGAAGUGACAUUUAUAAAGAAUGUGCCUGACAAAUCAGCAUCACCUGUGAGGGAGAGUCAGGUACAAAUAGUUCUUGAAACCGAGGUCCAGGAGAAAGUAAGCAGCACUUCCACAGCAAACAGUGAACCUGAACAUGAGCAAGACCAAUCUGUCAUUAAAGAUCAGCCAGAACAAGACUUUGCUGAUAGCAGUUUGUCUGAGAAGCAUAUAAAGGAAGAUGUUGAAUCUAAAACUGAUGCAGAGGAAAAUGUCCUCAUCCAAGAUGAGACAGGAAAAGGAAGCAAAAAGGAUACAGAAACUAAGCAAGAAGAGGUAUCAAUCAAACAAGCUGAAGUGGACAUAGAACUGAGGGAACUGGAGGCAAAAGACCCCGAAGAGGAGGAACAGCCUGUAGAUGAGAGGGGGCUAAAGAGAAAACGUGAGGAGGAGCCAACAGCUGAUGAGAACCCAGACAAAAAGAAGCUUACUGAAGAAGACAGCACUGCUGCAAUGCUGGCUGAUUUUGUAGACUGCCCACCAGAUGAAGAAGAAGCAACACCGUCAUUUUCAAAAGAUGACUCCUAGACUCGAGUUUAUGAGAUAGGAGGCCUGUAUUUGGAUGUUCCCUUGCUGUGCCAAUAUUUUCUGACUCCUGCCUACGCCUGCCUAUGCUGUCAUCCAUGUAGCCUACAGCGCAGCAUGAUGCACACCUCCACAGAAAUGUGACUGCACAUCACGUCAACCCCUACCACUCUGAUUGGAGAGUUUGGUAACUAUGAAUUUCCAGAAACAUAUUUCUAUUCAUCUUCCAGUUGGGAAGUUGGCAAAUAAAAGAAAAAUGCAAGGGACAAAUAUGUUUUUCUAAUUAUUGUGAAAUUAUAAAACUCCCAACCUAGUGCUUGUAGUUCUUCCCAGAGAGUUCAAUUUCUGUCUCAUCAAACCAGAGAAUCUUUUUCUCAUGUUCUCAGAAUUGGUUAAAUGCCAUUUGGGAAAACUAAAAAGCAGGUCAUCAUGUGUCUUUUACUCAAUUGUGGCUUCUGUCUGAAUGAUGGAGUGCUGCUGUGAAGUUUGUUGUUUCAACAUGUUCUCCCAUCUCUGCAGAACCUCUGUUAAAGUGAUUGUUGGGUUCUUGGUCACCUCAAUUACCACGAUCCUUAUUGGAGUUGUUAAAGAAAAAUGUCCUUGACUGUAUUUUGCUCUGUAAUGGGUGGAGUUUCUGCUGGGAAAAUAUAUGUUCUUUUGAAAUUUAGAAGUGAAAUAUUAAGUUGAGGGAUUCAGAGUAAAAUAUUUGGUCAUCCUGAGAAAAAAACAGACUUUAGAAUUUCUCCAAAGGUGUUUUGGUGGAAAAAAACAUGCAUUGAUAUAUACGUGAUUACAUCAUGGCUAGUGAUGUAUGAACCUGGGCAAAGGCACGUCUUGGCUUCCAGUACAACUAUUGUAAACUAUUCCUGCUGCUUCUAAAUCAUUAGAAUCCCUUAGUUUGGACUUUGUUGAAUAUUUUCUACACUCUGCAUGUUGCCACCAAUGCUGAUUGAUUCUCCAACAAGGAAAUUCCAUUCUUUUAAAAAGAUGUCCACUCAGGAAUUAGCUUUCAUGUUAAUCCUGGAGAUUAUUAGACUGUACAAGUUUCCUCUCUCAGUAUUUUCUGACAGAGAUUCUUAGGCUGUUUCUCAGAGUUUGGAGUACCUUGCUAAACUGUGUGAGACUUGAAGACUGGUUCUGGAGAAUCUGCAGAAGGGGAAAACCACUGCCAAGAAAUUUGUGGAUCAUAGGCCUGAUGAAAAUGAAUUUGAGGUACAGUUGAUUUUGGAUUCAUGUGAAAGAGCCUUCAGGAUUGAAUACCUGGUUCACUGUCAUGGGAGUAGCCCUGAGGAAUACUCCUGGGCACCUUUUAAGGAUAUUCCUGCCUCUAAACUGUUGCAUUUUUGGUAAUUCACAAUUCCUAAUAAACUAGACAUUUGUGUGUCUGGGGGCCACGAAUUAGGGUCUGUGUUAUGAAUUAGAAAACGUUGGUGUUGUUUUUUUUUAAUUUUGCAAAAUUUUUAACUUGUCAAGUUUUGUUCCCCUGGGGGUUUUGAAUGUCAGAGAAUCCAUAUUUAUUAAUAUUUUACUUAAAACUUUUCUCUAGACUGGUACAGAUUUUUUUUAUCUUUAUGUAUUUAGUAUACUGUGUUACCAUUUGAGGCUCAAUUGCUAUGAUGCAUCAUUAAUGGGAAUGUGGUUUCUGGAGGUCAUGAUACUUUAUAAGCCAGCAGCAUCCAAGAUUGUGGGUGCAAUUAUAAAGACAUUGGUGUGUGGAUUUUUCAAGUAGAUACUUGGGUAAAAUGACUUCUGGCUUUUACCUUUGAUUUUUGGUCAGUGUUUUGGUUGUUACAACUGUGUUCUACUCUUCCUGGUUUUGACCCUUGCAAAUGAAUUACGUCAAAAGCAAAGGAAACAAAAGCACUAUAUAACACCACCAAAGGAUUUUAAGUUUGCAUCAACAAUCUCAUGGAAGCUCAUGGUGCUGAAAUUAAUAUAGUCAUGGUGGUGACUUCACAUGUUACACAUUUCUUGUCAUUAAAGCAUUUUAACAUUGUAGCAACAGUUUCUCAAAAUGGUGGCAUGUUUAAGAUGCAAAAUAGCAUCAAGAAAUAAUU
This is an RNA transcript of Polypterus senegalus (gray bichir), 5992 nucleotides long. It is a transcript of the gene named proline-, glutamic acid- and leucine-rich protein 1-like, with no coding region annotated. The transcript is spliced from 18 exons. NCBI's taxonomy places the organism in Eukaryota, Metazoa, Chordata, Cladistia, Polypteriformes, Polypteridae. The record is from RefSeq and is a predicted model, not a curated record.